AUUGAACGCUGGCGGCAUGCCUUACACAUGCAAGUCGAACGGCAGCACGGGUGCUUGCACCUGGUGGCGAGUGGCGAACGGGUGAGUAAUACAUCGGAACAUGUCCUGUAGUGGGGGAUAGCCCGGCGAAAGCCGGAUUAAUACCGCAUACGAUCUACGGAUGAAAGCGGGGGACCUUCGGGCCUCGCGCUAUAGGGUUGGCCGAUGGCUGAUUAGCUAGUUGGUGGGGUAAAGGCCUACCAAGGCGACGAUCAGUAGCUGGUCUGAGAGGACGACCAGCCACACUGGGACUGAGACACGGCCCAGACUCCUACGGGAGGCAGCAGUGGGGAAUUUUGGACAAUGGGCGAAAGCCUGAUCCAGCAAUGCCGCGUGUGUGAAGAAGGCCUUCGGGUUGUAAAGAACUUUUGUCCGGAAAGAAAUCCUUGGCCCUAAUACGGUCGGGGGAUGACGGUACCGGAAGAAUAAGCACCGGCUAACUACGUGC
This 487-nucleotide ribosomal RNA is filed under the name uncultured bacterium. RNAcentral's name for it is "partial 16S ribosomal RNA". It matches the Rfam family "Bacterial small subunit ribosomal RNA", at positions 30 to 508 of the family's 1533-position model. The record is from RNAcentral.